UGGCAAUAAGCAAUGGAGUAAAAUUGUUCAACUUGGCUUUUCCAAAUGACUCAAUUCUAAGUCAGGGUUGAACAAAAUUACAUAGAAGAUUCCGAUGGGGUUAAUGAUAAAGUUGAAAGGAAUGGUGAAAUUGAUAAUAAAUACCCAAAACUUAAACAUAAAGGUGCAGAAAAAUGUUGAACAAUGUAUACAAUGGUCAAAGCAGAAAAAUGUCGAUUUCAUACAACGUAUUGUAUUGACUGAAGAAGCCAUCAAAUGUAAUCUUAGUAUUCCAACGAAACAAACGACGAUUAAUCAAUUUUUAAUUAGCACAUUACGUUCUUUAGGGUAACAUGCAUAAGCGCU
Molecule: non-coding RNA, 345 nt
Organism: Bactrocera oleae (olive fruit fly)
Lineage: Eukaryota; Metazoa; Arthropoda; Insecta; Diptera; Tephritidae
Source: RefSeq, a predicted model, not a curated record